Molecule: ribosomal RNA, 915 nt
Filed under: Parempheriella sp. JSMC5
Lineage: Eukaryota; Metazoa; Arthropoda; Insecta; Diptera; Mycetophilidae
Description: eukaryotic LSU rRNA
Rfam family: Eukaryotic large subunit ribosomal RNA
Source: RNAcentral
AUUAAUGAGGGAAGGAAAAGAAAUUAACUAAGAUUCCUUUAGUAGCGGCGAGCGAAACAGGAAAAGCCCAGCACUAAGCCCUCCGGUCGUUCUGGCCGGCAGGGGAUGCAGUGUAUGGAAAGUCUAUUAUCUUAUAUGACGGUAAUACGUUCAAGUCCAUCUUGAAUGGGGCCUUUUUACCCAUAGAGGGUGCCAGGCCCGUAGCAACUGUUACCAGUAUAAGAAGAUUUUUCCAAAGAGUCGUGUUGCUUGAUAGUGCAGCACUAAGUGGGUGGUAAACUCCAUCUAAGGCUAAAUAUAACCACGAGACCGAUAGCGAACAAGUACCGUGAGGGAAAGUUGAAAAGCACUCUGAAUAGAGAGUUAAAUAGUACGUGAAACCGCUUAGGGGUUAAGCCCGAUGAACCUGAAUAUCUGAAAUGAGAAAUUCAAUACUAUUACUUCGGUGAUUGUAUGCACUUUUCUCAUAGUAAGACAUUGCGAUCCAUUAGUUAGUUUAUCAAACGGCCCGUAUAGUCAGUUUAAUCUAUCUGCAUUAUUUUAUAAUGUAUGGUUAAUGCUAUUGCGGUGACCUGAUAAACGUCUGAUGGAGCUUAUUAAAUCAUGCAGCCAUGUCUUAUGUAUCGCGGUUCUUAUAUAUUUAUAUAUUUGAAUGCAGUGAUCGCAUGUAUUUGAUUAGCAAUGCGAUAGAUUUGGGAUACCUUCGGGACCCGUCUUGAAACACGGACCAAGAAGUCUAACAUGUGUGCAAGUCAUUGGGUAUUUUGUUGAAACCUAAAGGCGCAAUUAAAAUAACUAUUUUAUGGGAUUACAAGUAAUCAUUGUGUUACUUCUCCAUCCCGGGGCGUUCUAUAUGAACAUGGUUUAAGCAAUUAGACCCUCUGUUCGGGAGCGUACCUUGAGCAUACAUGCUGU